UCGAGUCUUUGAACGCAAGUUGCGCCCUAGGCCAUCCGGCUGAGGGCACGUCUGCCUGGGUGUCACGCAC
RNAcentral lists this ribosomal RNA (70 nucleotides) under Vasconcellea cundinamarcensis (mountain papaya). Its description in RNAcentral is "partial 5.8S ribosomal RNA". It matches the Rfam family "5.8S ribosomal RNA", at positions 92 to 154 of the family's 154-position model. From Rfam's summary of the family: 5.8S ribosomal RNA (5.8S rRNA) is a component of the large subunit of the eukaryotic ribosome. It is transcribed by RNA polymerase I as part of the 45S precursor that also contains 18S and 28S rRNA. Functionally, it is thought that 5.8S rRNA may be involved in ribosome translocation. The record is from RNAcentral. Lineage: Eukaryota; Viridiplantae; Streptophyta; Magnoliopsida; Brassicales; Caricaceae.